This 706-nucleotide long non-coding RNA is filed under the name Homo sapiens (human). RNAcentral describes it as "HSALNT0045163". The record is from RNAcentral. Lineage: Eukaryota; Metazoa; Chordata; Mammalia; Primates; Hominidae.
AGAACCCUGUCUUGGGGUGUGGAUCAGACCCCUUUCCAGUAACUCCUUUGGAGGGAGUAUGGCCCUGCUAGCACGUUCCAUCCUCCAGAAUGAGAGAGAAUAAAUUUCUAUUGUUUCAAGUGAACAAAUUUAUGUUUAUUUCUUACUGCAGGUAUAGGAAGCUAAUAGCUAAAAAGCACCCAACACAAUUGUUGAAAACUUCACCCUUUAUUUAUGUUUAUCUACAUCUAUCAAAUAUCUGGUGUCCUUGUAAGCACGAAUCUGUCUUUGCUCUGUCCAGCACUGCCUAGCCUGCCUGUCUCAUCUAAGGAUGAUAAAAGGAAAUGCUAUUAACCAUCUAAGAAUGCCGACUACCAUGAGAUCACCAAGCUGGAGAGGCCACGUGUAGAUGAACUAUUAAAUAGCUCCAAUUGAGUUCCCAGCUGUCAUCUAGCCUCAGCUGCCAGCCACUUGAGUGGGCCAUCUUGGAGGCCAGCCCACUUGGGCUUUCAGAUAACUGUAGCCUCAUCCAACAUCUGAAACAUGAAAGUCCAAGUAAGAACCACCCAGUCAAUCCAAUCCAGGAUUCCUCACUCACCAAAUAGUGAGCAAGAUAAAAUAGUUGUUUUCAGCUGCUAAAUUUUGAGGUGAUUUGUUUUGCCACAAUAGUAAUCUGAACAAGUGGCAUGUUCUAACAGCUUUUAUAUCACUGUGGAUAAAAUUUGUC